UACGUAUGUCGCAAGCGUUAUCCGGAAUUAUUGGGCAUAAAGGGCAUCUAGGCGGCCAGGCAAGUCUGGGGUGAAAACUUGCGGCUCAACCGCAAGCCUGCCCUGGAAACUGCCUGGCUAGAGUGCUGGAGAGGUGGACGGAACUGCACGAGUAGAGGUGAAAGUCGUAGAUAUGUGCAGGAAUGCCGAUGAUGAAGAUAGUUCACUGGACGGCAACUGACGCUGAAGUGCGAAAGCUGGGGGAGCGAACAGG
Molecule: ribosomal RNA, 253 nt
Filed under: uncultured bacterium
Lineage: Bacteria
Description: partial 16S ribosomal RNA
Rfam family: Bacterial small subunit ribosomal RNA
Source: RNAcentral